AAUGAACGCUGGCGGCAGGCCUAACACAUGCAAGUCGAACGGAUCCUUCGGGAUUAGUGGCGGACGGGUGAGUAACGCGUGGGAACAUACCCUUUGGUACGGAAUAGCCUCGGGAAACUGGGAGUAAUACCGUAUGUGGUCGAGAGACGAAAGAUUGUAUCGCCAAAGGAUUGGCCCGCGUUGGAUUAGGUAGUUGGUGGGGUAAUGGCCUACCAAGCCGACGAUCCAUAGCUGGUUUGAGAGGAUGAUCAGCCACACUGGGACUGAGACACGGCCCAGACUCCUACGGGAGGCAGCAGUGGGGAAUCUUAGACAAUUGGGGAAACCCUGAUCUAGCCAUGCCGCGUGAUCGAUGAAGGCCUUAGGGUUGUAAAGAUCUUUCAGGUGGGAAGAUAAUGACUGUAUCACCAGAAGAAGCCCCGGCUAACUCCGUGCCAGCCGCCGCCGUAA
Molecule: ribosomal RNA, 450 nt
Filed under: uncultured bacterium
Lineage: Bacteria
Description: partial 16S ribosomal RNA
Rfam family: Bacterial small subunit ribosomal RNA
Source: RNAcentral